AGCGAAUAGACGUACCCCGGUAGUCCCACGACCGUAAACGAUGNUGCUAGGUGUCAGGCAUGGCGCGACCGUGUCUGGUGCCGCAGGGGAAGCCGUGAAGCGAGCCACCUGGGAAGUACGGCCGCAAGGCUGAAACUUAAAGGAAUUGGCGGGGGAGCACAACAACGGGUGGAGCCUGCGGUUUAAUUGGACUCAACGCCGGACAACUCACCGGGGGCGACAGCAAUAUGUAGGCCAAGCUGAAGACUUUGCCUGAAUCGCUGAGAGGAGGUGCAUGGCCGUCGCCAGUUCGUACUGUGAAGCAUCCUGUUAAGUCAGGCAACGAGCGAGACCCGUGCCCACUGUUACCAGCAUGUCCUCCGGGACGGU
Molecule: ribosomal RNA, 369 nt
Filed under: uncultured bacterium
Lineage: Bacteria
Description: bacterial SSU rRNA
Rfam family: Archaeal small subunit ribosomal RNA
Source: RNAcentral